CGCUCUCGCUCACGCCCGUACGUUCGACGCGUAUACACACACCCACCACCACCGCACGAAGAGGAACGAAAGAAGAGAAAACUCUCAAGGGUCGUGAGACGGUCUUUCUUUCGGCUGCACAGCCUACCACUCUACGACAUACGUCGCGAAUGCGCUGUCUUCAAAAGGGGCAAGGCCAUCAUAGUUAGUGGUAGAGGAAUAAACAACUGCAACAGUGCAGGCGCUCCCUUUCACAUUAUUCCUCUCGUUUUGUGGAGGGGUGAGACACCACUCACAAUAGGUAGGGUGGGGCCGUCUCCUUGUAGAGGAAAGAGGGCUACGAGAGACAGCGACGCUACCUCGACGUACACGUGGGGCGUUCGUCGUCAACGGUCUCCCUGCACCCCUCCCUCCUCCGUUUCCGCGUUUCAUUUAUUACAGCUUUGUCGCUGCUGCGCUUGUACGUCGGUGCAUUGUGGUCUUGCUCGUGGCACUCGGUCUCCGCUCGUAUAUCUGUCUCUUUCAGACGCUGCCGCGCUCUCUCCCUCUCUGAUUGGUAUACCUAAUUAUAUAUAUAUAUAUAAUAAUUUUUCCUUGCUCGCGCGCCAGUAGUCGCCAACUAGAGUGUCUGAUUGUGAUGGAAGUGCGUGGGUGACCCUCGCUGUUGCCAACCUCCGUUUUCUUCUCCCUCCCUCUUCUUGUUUUAGUUUUUUUUUCGGUUUCUUGUUUUUUUUUUUGGUGUGUUGUUCCUCGCCACUUUCGUUUUCUGUUUGGGUUGCUGUUGUUGCUGUUCUUCCUUGGUCCUUAUCGCCUUUUUUGCUACUGUGCUCUUGUCUCUAUCUGCCCAUCUGACACCCUACGUCGCUGUCACUUCGGCCGUGUGCGUUAUCUGCGUCGUGGUGAGCUCAGUGAGUCUUCUCUCUCGUUUUUUUAUCUUGAGAGCGUGUGUGCGCCAGCCUUCUCCACCCUCGUGCCUGUGGCUGCGCACGAAGGACGAGCAGGAUCGAGCGAAAACACGCAGUUGCCCAAUAAUCGCACACACGCAUACGCACUCUCGUGCUCACGGCGUCUCGCCUCUCGUUGGCCAGUUCUUCCAUUCCCCCUUUUUUCUGUUUCGUUUGCUGUUCUGCUGCUGCUGCUGUUCCUGUCACCCCCCCCUCCCCACCCAUUUUCUCCCUCCAUCUAAGCGAAACUUGCCACCAUUUUUGUGGUUACCCGAGUCUGACAAGCAUACACACGUACACACACACACACACGAGGUGCGGUGCAUAAGCGAGAGAAGAUGCUCGAGGGCCACGUUGCAGAGCUGCUGGCGAGGCAUCUGAGCCGCUUUAUCAAAAAUGUAAACGCAAGUCAAUUGCAGAUUUCGCUGUGGUCCGGCAACGUAGUGCUGAAUAAUGUGGAGCUUCGCAGUGACGCCCUAGAGCGCAUUGCCGCGCUUUUGCACGGCGAGCGCAGCGGCGUUGAGACAAAAGACGCGGGCGCGUCCGCAUCAGCAGCAGCCGGCACGCCUAGCGGUUCAUCAAAGUCGCACGAGGGCGGCUCGUCUAGCUCAACCCUUUCUGUGCGUAUGCUACUUGCGCCCUUCACGGUCGUGAAGGGCGUUAUUCGACAGCUGGCUAUCACCGUACCAUGGGCUUCGCUGGAGAGUGAGCCGGUGCGGGUGGACGUUGCAGGGGUUGAGCUGGUCCUAGGUCCUCUACGCGCGCGUCCUUUUAAUGCACGGGAAGAGCAGGAGCGGGAGCAGGCAAUCAAGCAACGGCAGCUCGAGCGGUACGAAAAGGAGCGUCAUCGCCUUUCUCGCGAAGGGGCAGAGGAAACGGUGAGUGAGACAUCGUCAAAUAUGACAGCGAGCAUGGAAUCGAGACAUGUGAAACGAGGAGAUGGGCCCGCAAUUGCGGGCACGAGCCGCGCAUCUGGUGCGUCAUGGUUUAGCUGGCUGUGGGAUUUUGACCGCCUGAGCCAGAUUGCAGUGCGCAACGUAAGGGUGAACUUGCAGGACGUUUCCAUGCGCUGUGAGUUCGACUACGAGGGCCUGCACCCCUCCUGCGCGUCUGCGUUCUGCGUCUUUGUAAAGCAGGUGCAGCUGACCACGGCCGACGAGAAGUUCAAGGAUGUGUUCAACAAGGAACUUCUCACGCCGCUGUGCAAGAAGAUUGCACUGUCAGAGGUAGUUGUCAGCGUUCACGCUAUCCGACAGAGUCCUCGCGGGGUAUUCGGUAGCGCAAGAGAGAGCGGAAACGGUCCGGCGUCCAGCGCUGCAAGUGAGCCAGCGUCUUGCGCGGCUGCAUACGACACGUACGCGUCGCGCUGGGCGCUCUCCGCGGCAAUACUGCGUGUCCAGACACUCCAGCUGCAGGCAAAGUUGGUACCGCCCGGGUGUGUGUCCAAAAACGCGAUUGUGGAGGAGAUGCCGAUACUGUCGGCGAGCUCCACAGAGCUGAGGGUGACGACUGCUGACAGCAUCGAAGUCGACGUGUGCUUUGGUGUCGUGCAGGUGCUCGAGUCCAUGUGGCGUAACUAUCAGCAAAGCCUGCCUUGCGCGCGAUAUCGAAAGCGUCUGCAUCUGCUGCGGCCCACCGGGGGACAUGCAACGCAUACCCGUGUCCUUCGUCAGGCGUCGGAGCCGAAUAGUGUGAGUCUGUCACAGGAUGCUGCGACCGCCUGGCGACCAUCGGCGCAGCAGAGGUGGCGGUUCGCGUUACGGUGCGUGCUGGACGAUGUACGGCAGCAUCGGCAGAUCUUCGGCUUGCACGAAUGGAAACGGUGCGAAGUAGUGGAGGCGAUGGUGCAAUUCGGGCAGCUGCGUAGAGUCUACACCGAGUACUGGAAGCGCGCCAAGGGGGUCAUCUGGGCCCCGCCCUUGAGCGCAUUGGAGGAGAAGCGGUUGAAGUCGAUGGAGCGGCAGCUGUCAUUGUGGCAAGUUAUUUAUCUGCGGUGCCUUUCUCAUGCACAGCUCGUUGUAGAGCAAGAGAGCUAUGCGCGGCAGCAGGACUACAUUGAAGAGGCCCGCCAGCGCAUCAAAAGCGGCUUACUGAGCUCAAGCGGGAACGACGGGGGCGGCAGACCGACAUCGUUUCUGUGGGAUUGGCUUUUUGGCAGGUCCACACGCAAGAAUGAUACUGCAACUCUGUCGAGGAAAUCGUUGGCUUCCAUCGCGUCUCGCGACGGCGUGGGCGUGAUAUCGGUGCCCACGUACAGAGGCUUUUGCUUUCGCGACUUGGUGGCGCUGGAGUGGGACCUUGGGCGACGCUAUACCUCCCCGCACUACGCUCGCUUGGCGCACCCGAGGGCACCACAAAACCGCCUACCCGAGCUGGCAGCGGAGAACAGGUUGUACUUCACGUUGCGUGCGCUUUUUCCGAAGCUUAUCGUCCGCAUUGAUCCUAUCUACUGGCCUCUGACAUACGAUAGCAGUGUGCCAGCGACGCCGUCCGCUACCCCGCUGCAGCGUGUUGAGCAGCGUCUUGUUGCCCAACUACGCGCGAUGGAGCUCUUCUACACCACCAUUCCCGACGACCGGCCAGAAAAGGCGUCCCUGUCCUUUUUUCUUGGCUCCGCAUCGCUUACCUUUGAGGGCGCGUUGCGCUCAGUCCUUUUGCAGUCAAAAGAGCAGUUCAGGGAGGACUACGUUGUAGUGAAGCGCAACGCGCAGCGCACCCACAUACGCGUUUGGGUGGCUCCGCAGCUGGUGAUUUGUCAACCGACUCACGAGUGGGCCUGGUGGUACGCGGAGGUUUCCGCCUUCGUGCACUGGUUUCGGGCGGUUCAACGGGCGUUCUACGUCAGUGGCGUCCCCGAGGCGUCUCCUGGUUCGAUGCCCGCGUUGGCGGAGAGCGCGCAAAGCGAUCUGCAUGUCACUGCCUCCGUCGGUAGUCGGAUGUCGGCGUCGAGCUCGUGCACGUCGACUCCUCGUGGCCAAUCCUCACAGAUGGCGACGGGGACGACUGUACCACGUGCGUCGCCGGCGCCACGCGUGCUUAAUGUGACCAUCCAGUCCCUCGACGUUUGCGUUCCUCUUUUCGCGCGUGAUAUCGAGUGCACUGACUUGGAAAUAUUCAGCCGUCAGCCGUCGGCCUUCUCCUCAGCUGCACUACCGGGGUCGCUCGCGGGCACAGUGCCCUGCGACAGCACCUUGAAGUGCGGCGAGUCGCAGCGGCAGUUAUCUACUGAAAUCGCGUCCGGCGAUGGCGACGCGGGUGACGGGAGGCCACGCGAUGAGGCAACCCUGCAAAGCGGCGAUGCCGCGCCCGCUGCACUGUGGCUUCGCACAACGGACAGCAUUCAGAGCUUUGCGGUUGAAGGGGACACCGACGGGGAGGAAUACACGGACUCUUCGUGCUCCUCGCCUAGUGCCAGUCCGGACAUGUUCGCGCGUGUCGCAACAGAGCGCUGCUUCUUGAAGAACGAGACUUGCCUUGUGCUGUCAGUGUCCACCACGCGGCUGUGGACCGUUGCACCUCCGAGGAAGCGGUACAAGGGGACCGAGAACGAGUACUGCCUUUGCAUCGGCGACCAAAGCAAGGCCGUCCGCGUGUUUUGCCAAAACGGCCACAACACACAUACUCCCACUUCCAGCCGGCAGCUUGAACUGCUCUCAUUUGUCGCUGGUGAGGUGCGUCUAAAUCCCAAGGAGCUCACGGUGCUGCUCAACAAGGGUAUCGACGCCGUCGCUGACCCCUGUGCGUUUGCGCUAGUGAACGAUGCGCUGCUGAAGCCGACAGUGUUGGCCGCCGCUGACGCACAUGGGCAGGCUGUGCGCGCUCUGACGGCCGAACUCCGGCAGGCAGAAUGCAGGUGGUCCGGCACGCGAGGAGCUGCUGCUCCGUGGCGGUUGGCAACCUCGACUUGUGUGGAGCUACGAGCAGACAGCGAAUCGCCGCCCGUCCUUCGGGAAGUGCCACUGGACUGCGCGCGUCACAUCCUAUCUGCUCUUUCCGCCCCGCUCUUCAUCGCACGGAGCUCGGCGACGACGGCUGCCCAUGCUAUCUCAAGAGGCGAGCUCGCUACUGGUGUCUUCGGCGGCCGAGUUUGUACUGUCGGCGUGUGCGUGGCGCGUCUUCUUAUUCGCUCUGAGGCGAACGUGGAUCUCGGCGAGUUGGUGCUGGUAGCCCCCGAGCACUUGCCACCUACCACGGAACCGUACCGCGAGGCGCUUUCUGCGCUCGGUGCAGAGGAGCCGCGCGCGAUUGAGCUAAUCUGCAACUUUGCCGACAGUCAGUGGCAUGCCGUAGAGCGGAGCAGCUACGACCCGCUACCGCUGUGCCCGGCAAGGGAAAAAGUGUGCCCUCGGCUCCUUCUCUCCAUCCCGGACAUUACCAUGACCACCACCGCGGGGCGGAAGUUGCUCACCAUCGAGCACUUGAUGCUUGUCCAGACCUGCACGGCGCCCAGGAAGCCUGAGGCGGCGCUCACGAUCCAAACCGUGUCGGCGUUCUGCGACAUUGUCCUGGUCGAACUGUUGGAAGUGUUAAUCGGCACUAUGUGCACCAUGCGGUCUAUCAAGCUGCCUCCGCAGGCGGCACCCUAUGUCCUGACAGGGGCGUUGCGCAGCGAGGCCGCGGACUCUGAGAUGCCGCAAAGUCGCUUCUUCGGUGUGCUCCCGAUCAGCGUGCGCGCGCACACUGCCCGAUUUCAGACCCCCCUGAGCACAGACGACGUCGUGGAUGCGCCGUACGUGGAGGUGACUACCACGAUAGAGGAUGCCCUCUGCACUCUUGAGCCCUUGACAGGCGGCACAGGUCGGGGUGGAAAGCAUGUGCAUCUCCGCUUCAGCGUCCCGGAGGCGAUGCAGAUCGCCGAUUACAUUGGCGGGGACCCCGAAGUGCGCAGUCUGAUUUCGGCGUACCCGUGGGCUGCCUGCACUGGUGAUGGCACUGCACAUGCCCUACACUGUGUGGUCGACGUCACGCUUCCCGGCUCAUGCGUCGGAGACACCGACACGUCGACAUUACCGCGACCGGGGGUGCCGCCGUCCACGACGUGUCGCGCCACAUUGGUGGGCGGUGCGAUUCACGUCUACUGCCCGUUCCUCUACUUCUACGCGGCAGCCAUAAAAGCAGAUGAGCGAAUCGUGCGUCUCGACGAGCUGGCUCGAUCACCGUUGCUGCGCCACGGGUAUACCCACGCGCCCUGCUUUGCAGAUGGCACCCCCCGAUCCAGGGUGGUCGGCGGCGCUCGUGCGUCCCGGGAGGCGACGACGCCGUUGCCGCUCUCGGUGGAGGCCACGAUAUCGGACCUGGAUGUUGUUCUCGCGACAGAUGCAGCAGUGCCGAUUGACAUGACUAAACCGAGCACCUUCUGUGUCGUCCAUGUUGAGCAGAUCGUGUGCAUGCUGCAGCAGAUCACGUCAGCGUCGCCUGGUGCGUCAGCCACGUUGGAGACACAGACGCACGCCUCCGUCGACACAAAUCGCGUGCAGCUGCUGGAUGUGUUGUCCGCACCGUCGCGCGAUGUCUGCCUUCCCGAUGUGAAGUUGCGCGCCCAUAGGGGCGUGCGGCUUGUUCCAAAGGAGGAUCUUACCGGCUACGCGUAUCAGCGCGGCGCGCCCGAUGACUGGGCUUUUCUGGUGGGAGUGCACCCCGCAUGCGCGCCCUAUCCACAGGGCACGGCAUCUGUACACGAAGCAGCCAGUAGCACUGCAAGCCGGCCCUCUGACGUGACGAUUCGCAUGAGCGCGCAGCAAUGUCGCAGCCUUGUCCGCUUCUUCUUAUAUAACGUGACCCGGCUUCCUAUCCACUCAACCAGGCGUACGCCGAGGGUCGGCGGUGACCAUCUGCAGCGUACGUCGACGCCCCCAGCAACUGUCACCUUUCCAAUGGGAGGGCCCAAGCCACUUUCGUCGUUAUACCACGGUGCGGAAGCGCCGUCGCACCAGCAAGCCGCUUUGUCGCCGUCGGUAACGCUGCUGCUCACUAUUCCUGCGGUGUCUAUCCUGAUCGACACAGAUGACUACGUUGCACCCGACAGGAACGCGCGCCAGUCAACGAUGCCGCGGACAACCGAGGAAGACGAAAGCGAAUCCAUCGCUCCUGCAGCGCCGCCGCCGCGACUGCCGUCAACGCGCCGCGUCAGCUACGAGGUAGGACUGCGCCGCGGCGGGCAACUAUACUCCGCCGCGGGCGGGUGCUGGUCCACAUCACCGGUAAAGAACGGUCAGUUGAGCGGCCUGGAACUGGUGGCGAGAGAAGAGAAGCUGGAGAACUCCACUGGAGACGCCGAUGUGACGGAGACAACAAGCACACACGUCCUUCUGACGAUUGACUUGGUGGGUAUGGCGUUUCUCGAGCGGCGUGCUGGCCGAGCGUCGAGCGAAGUGGACGACGAUGCGAGGAAUGACGCCGCGGUCGUCAAGGUCGCUGCGGCGGUGCGACACGCCCACUUCAGAGUGCCACACAUCAAGUGGUGGCUGCUGCUGUACAGCAUAUUUGCCGGUGUCUGCUCGACACAGGGCAGUCGCCAAAGCAGUGCGGCACGCACACCAGGCAAAAGCGGAAGUGCCGGCACUAUAGCAAGGUUUGGCGAGGCAGGCCAGCACGGAAACGAAGGCGCCAGUGGACAAGGCAGCAGCGCCUUCGGCGAUCAUCGCGGGACGAGCCGGGGCGAGUACAUGGACGGGGACAAGGCGGCGUCGCCGACAAGAGAGAGACACCUCGCGUCGCGGCAGCGUCGCUCGCGGCGGCUUCACGGAACCGUCGAGAUCACGCACACGGAGGUCAGUUUUUGCACCGUUGACUGCGCUAAAGGCGACCGACAGCCAUUGUGCCGACUCACUGUGCCCGAGGCCAGGCUGACAGCGUCGCCUCUGCCCGCUCUGCAGGAAGGCGGCCGUGCGCACGUGAACAACGCGGGGCGCCUUUACGACAAGUUUGUCUUGGAGGUUCCCCACUGCCCGGAGCUGCUGCUCCUGUGUGUCUCAGGGGAGUCUGAUGGCGCCGCGGGCCUAGAGUCACAGCUCUCGUCCGGGUCCAGCUACGCCUCCGUACUUCGUCGACAGUCUGCCGAAGCUCCUUCCACGGCAUCUGCUGCCCCCGUCGUAAAGAGCAGUUUCUGGAGGCAGGCUACCGCUGCGACGGUGACACCCGCUUCGAAGCCGCCGCUGCUACCGGCGCGUAGUAGCGAGGCCUGCAUCUCUCUUGGCCUUGUUUGCUUCUCGGACGCCAGCAGUUUGAGAUCGCUUCGGUACGGGCGCUGCUACCAAGUAACGGAUCUUACCUUACACCGCACGUCUGUGGUGCAGGUGCGGCUGCAGCGCAUGCUUCUCGACAUCCCUGCUGUCCUACUGUUCUCCCUUGCGCGCGAGGUGGUGCGGCAGGUGAUGGAGACGCAAUCCAUUGAAGGAAUGAAGCCGCACGCCCACGCUGCGCCGCGUGAUGGCAGAGAUGCCGAGUCGCCGGCGCUUACGUACAUAGGUAUUGAGGCGGAGCUUACGGAUGUAGAGGUGCGGCUGUCUGCAGAGGCUAUACCUCCAGGUGAACCGGCGGCGAGUUGCGAUGCUGGCCGUGGCCCCGUUUCCUGGAGCGUUGCCAUCAGGUCAGCUCGGCUGACAACGAGUGUCCAGCUGCAGAGCGUUCUCACGAACACCCGAAUGCCCGCGUCGCUCAUUGGCGACGGGCUGAGUCGUGGUUGGCGAGUGCAGAUAUGGCACAUGAUCCCGCAGCUGGUCGUUCAGGGCGUCGUCGUCUCUACCAACAGCGACACGCAAGCGUGGCGGACGCUUCCAGAUGUGCGCAUAAAAGUGUCGCUCCCUCUGAAGCGCAGCAUCAUCUGCGUGCGUGGCAAGGGAGCCACAGCUACGGACGAUGGGCUUGAGCUGUCCUCGUCGGCUGACGAAUCGGCGCUGCGCUGGCGGCACAGCAGCACGGCCAACGGUUUUCAGAUGGAGCCGACAGCGCUGACGGCGCUCAACGGCCUGCACUAUCACGUUUUGGCGACUCUCCACGUCGAUGUGGGCGCCGAGGGCGAUGGCGCCGUCGGCACGGCGCCGGGGCAUGAUGCGGCUUCCGUGCAGGUUCGUCUGUCCACUAUUUUCACACUGAUAUCCGCUGCAGCGCGGCUGGUCGCGUUGUGGCGGCAGACACGGCGCACAUGCGAGUCGAGCGUUGCAGCUGCAGUGACCGCAGGCACCACGAGCAGACACGCCGGCUGGUGGCGUCCCGGUUCGAGGCAGCGCCAUGGGCUGAUUACCUGGUAUGAAUUCGAGCUGGGCCUCUCUGGGCGGCGUUUGGAGUUGAUCAUGGACACAGCCGCGGCGACGGUUGGCGAGAAGGCCGCCUCCGCGCUGACAAACGACUGUGCUCUGUGCGUUUCUGUGGGCGGUGCCAUCACCGUGCAGGUGGACAGAGAGGCUGGCGAGGAGGCAGCGGAGCCAACGACCGUCUUCGGCAUAGUUCAACGGGACGGAGGGUAUAACGAAACGAUGACUGAGUGCGAUGGCCGCAUUGAUAACGAGAAAGCAGUGGUUGGGGGGACGCACACGCUCUUCCGCCUGCGGUCGGCGCCGGUGCACGUCCACGACGGGGCCGGCAACCUUCUGUUGCACGUUUCUGCGGUUGCUCAGGGCGGCAUGGCGGACGCAAUGGUGGCUGACUACGCCUCUGCUGAGGCGCUGCUGGACAUCAACGCGGGGCGGGUUGUGAUUCACGCAAGCUCGCUAACCGCAGCCUCAAUGGUGUGCUGGUGGAAAGCAUACCGCGCGUUGAAGCAGAGGUGGGAGAGCGCCGUAACCUGCAUGAGACAAUCUUCGACGUGUCCACCGGAGGCGACACGCAAGCCAGAGCUGGCGAUGGGAAGUGAAGGGGGAUGUAAACGAUGUUGGUUGCAGCAAAUCAAUGUGGAGGUCCGCCACACCGAGUUGGUGCUUGCCCCCGCCGCCCGUGUGUGUGCCCAGCAAGCACACACUACGUUCUCUCCAACGGACGUGGGGGUAGGCCUAGACGCAGCGGCGGCGCUGGAGCUGCGCUGUGAAGAGGUAUGCAUGUAUUCGAUGUUGCCGCAACCUGGCGCUGCCUACGGGACGGCGCCCAUAGUUCUCGCUCGGACAGUGUCGCCGGUGCUAGUGGUCACGCGUGCUCAAAAGCAGCGCCUCUUAGUGCAGUACCGUACGCCAUUUGUGUCGAUCAUGAAUGGCGACAAUCACAGCUGGGCCCUGUGCGCCUUCCGCAUUGCAAAGGUGGUGACGGGCACAGUGACUGCUUUGGCUGCCCGUGCGGAAGUCACACCUCUGCACGCGUCGGAGAGCGACCCGCCGACGGGUGGUGCGGCAUCGUCAUGGUCGGCGUGGAUUCCCCGUGCAGAGGUGGAGAUCCACAAGGCAGAGCUUCUGUGCUUCGCACCCCACAGUAAGCGUACCUGCUCCGCCGCGCCGGUCGUGUGCUUGGAGGCGCGCCAGGCGGUUUUGCACUGCGUAGACUCGGCAAGUCUGAUCGAAUCCAGCAGUGUUGGCACAGUUGUCGGCGUACGAAUGGAGUCGUCUGCAGUAGUUUCCGCGACGUAUAGCAGCGGCCCCUCGACAGAGGUUAAAGCGCAUCCCCUGCUCGACGACGUGAAAACGACCUUCGUCCUUUCUUCUUCCUCGCAGUCAGCGUCGGACCCAGUCGAGGUGACCCUCUCGGCCGCCGCAGCAACGGAGCAGAAUGCCGUGUGUCUUCGCCUGCCCGCUGGUGACAGUUUGGAGAAGACGGUGGCCGCGCUUUGGCUGCUGGCGCGACAAAAGGUUCCGCGCCGAUACGCGCAGGCGAGAGCGGCGAAAGACAGUGCGGCGCCUGGCGACAGGGUCUGCUGUGGGGCAGGCACUCUGUGGCACGUGCGAGCAAACGUUCCGCGCAUGCUGCUGCGUUGCGCCGUGGCGUCUGCAGCCAUGUCCUCCUCAGAGCAGACGCUGCGGCAUCUUUGCUCGAUCAGCGUGGAUGACGUACGCGCCGAGCUGCGCACUCGACGUGGCGGUAACGAGGGUGACGACCGGCGACCGCACGCGGAGGUGUGGGUGGGCAGUGUCGUGGGUAAAACAGUUGUCACAGACGCCGCAGAGGCACUGAACGAGCAGGCCAUGGAGAUGCCAUCGACGUUCUUGGAGUUGCGUCCAUUGGUGGAGCCGAGUGGCGAUCGCGCUCCCGGCGCCGCGCCCGCCACUGGCGGAGCUACCAGCACCCGCAGCAAUAACCGCGCGGGGUUUUCUGUGUUGCAGCGAUCUCUCUCACUUUCGACGGGAGGCGAAGAGCACGGUGGCGCAGCGCAGGACAUCGCUGCCGACGAUGCGACAGCUCUCGUGAUUCGUCUUCACGCGCUGCACGUACACCCAUCCAUGAGGUUUCUCAAGAUGCUGAUGGAGCACGCGCUACACCCGUGUGUUGCAGGUAUUUCCGCAGCGAACGCGGACGCGUCUUCGACCCACAUACUCGACGACCUGGAACAUACUGUGUUGCGCGUUGGGAGCGCCACUGCGGUGCUGCCAGCAUCUGGCACGCUGAAUCGCCACGCUGGACGGGUGAGGGUGGUCGAGGUGGCGACAGACUGGCAGCUCUGCGAAGACUUGCGGCUCGGCGGUGAAGGCGGCUUCCAGCUACACUUCUGCGGCUCUGCUGGGCGUAGCGUAAUCACCGUGCGCGGUGGCGGUGCGGGUGAUGAAAAGGUUCAAGGCAGCGCGGCAACUAUCUUUCUUUCUUUACCAGUGGGUGCGAACGGAGAAGUCUGUCCCGCCAUACGCGUUGACCCGGACAUGACGGUGCGCUUCGAGAAUGUUCGGGUUGUCGUCGGAGAGGAGGCACAGGCGGUGAGGCGAGACGCGUGCGUGCUGGAGGCUUAUGUGGAGCUUGGCGAGCGAUCUCUGUGCCUCCUGCCUCCUCCACUUGUGGGUGUGAGUGCUUCGCCCUCGACGGCCGCCACGGACGCGCAGGUGGAGAAGGCCGCAGCACGCGUCUCGCAAGCCAACUCCGGCGCCGCUGCGAAUGAUACAGCUGUGCCCCAAGUGCCGACGACCUCGCUGUGGGCGGUGUCUACGAUGUUCUCAGUCGACGUUGCUGUUGGCUUCGAGGUGUCCCUCACGGCUGGCGCGCGGCGUCUUGCGGCGACGGGUGCGGCGAAAGGACGGUACCGUUUCGAGGAGAAGCUGAACGCGGAGCGCACACUGCGCAGCGAGCACGAGGGCGAAUGCACCAUCGUUUUGCACACGUGUCUCUCUGAAAGCGGCCCUUUGACAGACACCCCUGUCGCCGCCACAGCCCAGAUGUGUCUCACAGCAGCCGAAAACCAACACCGGGUCAUGCUGGACUGGGGCUCGACGCUGUGGCGGUUGCCGCUCGGACACGCGCACAUGUUGAUCGAACUGGGCAGGCUGGCGCAACAGGUGCUCUGCCAGACCUUUUCGCCUUCGCCGCCACGAAGGCCGUGGCACCCUCCAGCUGCAGGUGACGGGUUGGCGCGCGGGCCCACACGGCGUGCCACUACGUUGGAUGUGAGGGCGAAUGUGCCGUCGUGGGCGCUCACACUGACCAGCGACGCUGGCAGCGCACUGGCGAUACUGCUUGUGGACCAUGCUCGCCUGCAGUGCUCCACGGACAUGGACGUCUCAGACGUUGCGCUGACGGCUGAGGCUACAGUGUCCCUGCGAGACAGUAUCGAGCUCGAUGAUGAGUCAGGCGAACACCAGGGGGCGACUGUACGGUACGCUGUGGAGAGGUCGAGCGUGGCGUCAGCGCCGGCACCGAUGGCAGCGCGUGUGCUGUUCAGUGCCCAGCCACACCUAUACCUCUCAUUCACGCGCUUCAGCCCUGGUUGCCGGUCUUUGUCCGUCUCUGUCCAGGUCGACAGCGUUAUCGCGACGCUGCCUCUAGUGACCGCCGCGCGGCUUCUGCGGACUUCUGCUCGGGAGACGGACGCUGGCAAGCGUGUCUUCUGGAAUGAUAGCGGUGUUGAGAUGGAGGUCGCGGAGUCGGCACCGCAUGCGGGAGCACCUCUCAGGAGCGUCUCGCGGUGGCGCCUGCUUGCAGAACCGGGACGACUUUUACACACGAGCAUCCCUGCCUCCUGUGCAGUGGUGAUGUUGACGCCGGUAGCAGCCCCCGUCAGCGACGUCUCCUCUACUGCCGGUCGAAAGGAUGACGGAGGCAGCGACGGCGUUGCUGUGAACCUCGAAGCCUUGGGCGAUGGUACUGUGGCCCGAGUGUCACUUCCGGGCUACACUUCUGCGCUGGGAGCCUUGGACUUGAUCGUGCGGAAGAGCGUUCGCGACAGGCUGGAGGUGGUGCACUUGACAAGCUCGGUAGUCCUCGCAAACGUGUUCUACGCCGGCCCCGCAGAUGGGAGUGCCGCGGCGCCGGCAGCAGCGGGCAUCGUCAGCGUGACUGCACACGGCGCCCGACUAACUGUGCCGCCGCGUUCGGCGCGAUACGUCCCCCUGCCUCUUCUUCGGGAAUGCCUGACGCUAGAGCUCGACGGCGGCGCGUACGCGCCAGCUGCGAAGAUGCUGACAUGGGCGAUGAUGGCGGAUGCCAUGACAUUGCUGGCUGAUCAGGCAGCCGGCGGUGGCGGCGAAACGAGCGGCGGGCCAGGAAACGGUGCCGCCGCGUCGCCGAAGAGCGGAGCGGCUGCUGGCUUCAUGCUCUACGGCGACAUGGAUGCACUUGGGAGGGACCGCGGCGAAAACGACAACGGCCACGGCGGAACGUUGCGCGCCCCUGCGUUUUGCGAACGUGUGCGCGCGCUUGAUGCCUUUACACUGUCCUUUCCGAUGCUGCUUUCCCCACUAACUACGAUUCCCGUGAAGCCGCUCUGUGGUGAUGUCGCCGGCGGCGGCGUCAACGAUGCCACAUUUGCCUCCGCACCCGCCCGACAGUCGGAAGUUGCCGUAUCUCCCACUGAGAAUACCGCCAGAAACGGGCGAGUGGUGCAGCUGACGUGGCGGCGUCGUUGCUCACGGAUGGUCGGGCCACUCUUUAGUGGGAGGCUUUCGCCCAGAGAGUACACAGUCGCCGUGGGGCCUGUGUGGACGCUCUGGAACUGGACUGGCUGCCGGCUGCGUCUUCGACUGCGCACUUCUCGCGAUGGAGUGGUCAGCUCGCCAGUAAAGGCGCCUCAAGGCACGUCGUCCCCGCAGCUAUCCCUCCUUACAAGCAGAAGCAGCGAUGCCGUGGCCACAGCAGAUGUGGAAAACGGUGCAUGCUUUCAGUGGACGCCAACGACGCUGGACGCUCUGCAGGGCACGGUGUUCGCCUUCUUUCAGCUGAUGGUGCCGUCGCUCGCGGGCGGGUCUACGACCCUGCCGAACUCGCCCCCUUCCAUGCAGUGGUGGUCCGUCGCCGCGCCGAUCUCAUUGCAGGAGCCGCCGCCGUUGUACAUACGGCUGCAGCAGGGCAGCGACACAACGCGCGGCGCGGUUCGCAUCGAGCAACAAGGUCCGUCAAGCGUCGUGGUGCGGUGCGCCGCGUUGCUCCGCUCGGCGUUGGCGCGGCCAGUGUAUCUCCGGGAUGCCGAGCAGCCUCAGCCUCUGCUCGGGGCUGGCGCACACGGCUGCGUGCUGCCGCAGCAGCAGGUGCCUCUCUUCUACUCCGAGUAUGUGACCACAUUUGCGCCACACGCUGACCGCGUCGGGUUCACGGUGGCUACAAAUCCUGUAACAAGCACUGGGGCACGCAACGCAUCUCUGCACGAGAGCGACGCCUACUACCUUACAACGCCGGUUGUGGCAGCAUUGCUGUCGGCGCAGGAGCUGGCAUAUUGCACGCGCUUUUACACAGUGUCCGCUGUGCCCGACGCACGAUUUGAGAGAUCUGCUGCCACGCUGCAUGGGAAGGACGAAAAGGACCUUGGAGAGCAGUGCGUGCCAGCGGAAGCACUGCCGUGUCUAUGGACACCAGAGCCGCCGACGGUUGUGCAGCUGAGCUCACUGUGUCGCAUUCGCAACACACAUGCGCACCGCACGCUGCUCGCGAUGCCGUUCGACGCGUCGGCGCCGAGCAACGCGGAAGGGGCAACGACGGCACUGUCGAUGGUCACGCUCAUCCCUCCUGGCGAGGAGCGGGAGGUGACGGAGUUCUGUCGACACGCAAAGGAGCCAGAGAUGCAGUUCUGUUAUUGCACAAGUGGUGGCAACGCUCCGGCGCACGCGUGGUCACCGCCCGUGAGGUUGCUCUCACUCGCCACAGCGACGCAGCCGCUUGUACUGAAACACACAUGUGUGUCGCGCGACCUUCACGAAGUGGAGAGCGAUGCGGAGGCAGAGGAGCCCCGUUUCAUCAUGAACCCAGUGCGUCGUCGCGUGGGUGAGGCAGUCGCGUUGGCGGUGGAGCACUUCCGCUGUCUCACGGUGAUGUCGAGCAUGACGAGCGUCUCCUUGUGCGUAAGUGUUGCGCUUCAGGCCGCGCCACCGUUGAAAAUUGUGAAUCGUCUCAACACCACCUUGCAGUUUGCUCAGUGCGCUGUCACUACAGGCUCGGACGUCGCGCCGUCACCGGCACGGCGGGGUACCGUGACCACAGCCUUGUGCUCCUGCGCGCCGCGUCCUUGCAGUUACGUGGUGGCGGCAGGGACGAUGAGCUAUGGCUGCUGGGAGGUGCCGGUGCUAGAGUUACCAGGGCUACGGGUCACAUUGUAUUCGAAUGUGCGCCAAGGCUUCACCGUAAGCCAGGAUGUGGACCUGCUGCGGUGCGCGGCUGCGCCAUCGUCCGGUGCGCGAGUCGGGAGCACAGACGCAUAUGUCUACGUGAGCCUCGACAACCGACGGCGUCAGUACACGGUGACGGUCGCGUCAUCCCGCCAACUGGAGGGUCGAAUGCUGUUUCAGCCACGCCGGCUCACGCAGCUGGAGGUGUACGUGCACAGUUGCACCGUCUAUGUUGCUGCGAUGACACUGCCGAGAGCGGGUCCCUUCGCGCGCAAGAGUCUCAUUGCGCAAGGUGCACGGGGCCGUUUGCGGCUGCGUCGUGGCGCCAGUAGUGGUGAGAGCGCCAAUCGCGACACGGUGCCGCUCAUCGCUACAGACGAAGACGUUCUGACCUUCCUCGAGGAGCAGGAGCUCGAUGUUGUUCUUGUGCGCCUCCUUGGGUUUUACGGCAGCGCUACCCUGACGGAACGACACCUGAUGGGGAGCGCAUCGUUGGCACUGCUGGAGGUGGUAGACUGCACCACCGUCGACGCUGCCUAUCCUGUUAUCCUUCGGGUUGGGCCGCGUGCGGGCAGCGGCUCCGCGACUACCAUCGCAGGAAAUACUGUGGAGCCCAGUGCUGAGACUGAGCAAGGGCGUGCCAGCAGUCCGAUAUUGCCGGAUGUUUUCGGGGGAGGGGCGACGUUGACAUCGUCGACAGGCGUGCCGCACUUUAAGGACCCUUCGUGGUUUGCGUUGGAGAUUCAGCUCACUCGACCCGGACAGGCCGCAGCCGCGGAUGGCGUUGUCCUGCUUCCUGUGCCGCGAUUGCGCGUCACGGUGCCACCCAUUGUAGUGCGCGCUGACGACGACAUCCUCUUUACUCUGCGCGCCACAGCGGAGCGACUUGGCGAGGAGUGGUCGCCAGCAGCGUCUAGCGAGCGGGCCGUCCACGCCGCGGAGCGGCGAGGCAGCCUUUUCUCCACGCGCGGGGAUGCUGUGGCUGACUCGGCGACGCACUUGCCCCAUCGAGCGUACAUCGUUUUCGUGUAUGCCCUGCAGGUGUCUCCUAUUCUGGCAGAAGUGACGUACACCCGUUCUGGCCACUGGCGCUACAACCCUUUUAAAGGGCUGGCGCAGAUCCCGGAACACCUCAUCCCCUCUGUCGAGGAUCUGUCGAUCUCACUGAAGGAGGUGCGAUUACAGGAGGUGGAGCUGCGAUGGAGCCACUCGCUCUUCGGCAUCGCAAAGUCGUUUCUGUGGCCCCUCUACCGCACGCAGCUGUUGCUCCAGAGCUACAAGGUUCUCGGCUCAAUGGAUGUACUCGGUAACCCUCGCGCGCUGCUCGGGAGCUGGUCCCGCGGUGUGUGGGAUCUCGUCACAAACUCCUCUGGUCAGAGUCGGUGGACCGACACCCGCGAGUUCUUGCGCACUACCACAUCAUCGACGCUGCACUCUGUCGGGGUGCUGGCGCGCAGCAUCGGCAACCUAGCCGGCACCUCACCUAUUACAGUCGCACCACGACUAUCUUGUGGUAGCUCCUCAAGUGAUUUCAGCGGACAUGCCGUGCUCGCGACAUCGCAGCGUCGUGGCGUCCUUGGCGAGGUGCUGCACGAAGUUGGCGGCGGCAUCUCGGACGCUGUGACGAAACCGAUCCGCGGUGCUCGCGAGGGCGGCGUCAGCGGCUUCCUCAUCGGCAUCGCCGCGGGUGUGGCCGGUCUCGCGGGCCGCCCGGUCUUUGGCUUCUUUCGCGGCGUCAGUGUCACGUCAGAGUUUUACGCGCGCCUCCUGGGUGGUUUGGGCGAGCUAACGGAGCAUGAGGCACGCCAUCUGGGUCUGGAGCGCAACUACCUGAUUGUGUCGACCAGCGCCAGGGGCGCGCCGGUGUCGGAGGCGACUGAGGGUGUGGAGAGAGAGGUUUCCGGCACAAGUGCCGCGGGACAUGUGAACCGUGUGCCGCGCGCGUCGUUGCCAAGGGACCAGUACAUUCUCACGUACGCUAUGUACGAUCAGGUCUUCGCAGACGUUCCUCGGUGGCGUCGCGGGGACGAAACCAAUGUUCGGCUCGCUGUGGACCGGGUCGGGAUCUACAACACGGCGCUUCACACACCGUAUGCGGCCUUGUGCACCUUUUUGUCUCCGAGCGAGUUUCGCAACGCCCUGCCUUGUGCCCUCACAGCCCUGCUCGCGGGCAACAUCAUUAGCUUGCUCGCCCGUAACUGCACCGUUGACAGUUUCCGAGGAAGUGCCGGCGUUGACCAGGGGAACGACAAGGCGCCCGACGAGCCCGGCACAGGCGAAGGACAGGUGACACGGGCGCGCCUGGCACAUGAGUGUGAGCGUGCAUCGUACAUCAAAGCGUCUCUUGGGGUGCGGGCAUUGCACACAUACGUGACGGAUGAGGUGUUUGUGCACGUCUGCUCUCUAGAGGAGAUCGAGGCCUCCUUGAAGGAGACGGAGGCGCAGCAAAAAUACUCUCGGGCGCUGGCCAGGGCGAUCUGUGCCGCUGGCGAACGUCUGUUAGCGCCUUGAAGACUCUGGAGUGGUGGAGUGGAAAAGAAUGGCGCACAGAGCCUCACCAGUCGAAGCGUGGUGGUAGAUGCAAAGACUUGUAUCGUACGGGUGACAGUGGGCGCUGUCGUUUUUUUUUUUUCGACGUGCGCGCUGGGCGCGUUUGAUGAACUUUGCGGCAAGGAAUGGCCCAUUUUCGGUCUAGAACACCGCAUCGGCAGCUCUUCCUUGACGACCGUGCGUUGCCAGCAUCUCCGCUCUUGACGCGUGGUCAGGCGCUUCCCAUCUACCUACGAGGCGAAAAGCAGAAAGAAACAGUCCACAGCCGUCUGUGCAUGUGGAGAGCGGACGCUGCUGGCCAGACCUCAUCGGGGCCGUUACGCCUGCCUCUGUGCCGGAGGGCGUCACUAGCUCGCGCUUGCGCUUGCGUGCUCUCUCUCUCUAGAGUGAGAGAAGGGGUGGAACAGGAAGAAGAGAACAGGCGCCGUAUGCACGUCCGUCUUCUCCACCCUGCACAAUGCCACAUAGUUCCCAAGUGUGAGUCUCUCAGCACUCAUCUGCACCUCUGUACCCACACACUUAUCUCCAUAUUUUUUUUGGCACCAUCGAUUCCUCUUUACGUUGUGCCCCGCCAAAACGUCGUGUGCGCCUCCCCCCUCAUCUACACGAUGGCUGAUCCCACCCCCUAUCACGUGUGCGACAUGCAUCAAUGCCGUUGGACGAUUCCAAUCACGGCCACUAUCGCUUCUCUCAUACAUCCUCAAACGGUCGUAUCUUCCCUUGACGCCCCGGCGCCCCACACGACUGUACCCCGAACGCGGUAAAAAAAAAAACAG
This 18903-nucleotide unclassified non-coding RNA is filed under the name Leishmania donovani. RNAcentral's name for it is "gene:LdHU3.36.1930(CDS-product:N-inal_region_of_C horein_a_TM_vesicle-mediated_sorter_putative)". The record is from RNAcentral. Lineage: Eukaryota; Euglenozoa; Kinetoplastea; Trypanosomatida; Trypanosomatidae.